AAAUGCAACAAAGGAAAGAAAUCAGCCUUAUUUCCACACUAUGAGGUCAUAAAGUUUCAGAUUUAUUGGCAUCAAGUUGUUCAAGCAUCCUCUCAAGACACUUUACACUUCUAAGGAUUUGAAUCCUCGGAGGUGAUGGCUGUGGAUCAGAGCUGCCCUGGCGGGUGUCAGUGUUCCGGACUGGGCACUGGUGGCUGCAGCAAAGGAUUCGAUGAAUAUUCCUUCAUUAUCUGACAAAACACUUGAGCUGGGAUGCGGUUACCUGAUAUGGAGGGGAAUAUCACAG
Molecule: long non-coding RNA, 286 nt
Organism: Suricata suricatta (meerkat)
Lineage: Eukaryota; Metazoa; Chordata; Mammalia; Carnivora; Herpestidae
Exons: 4
Source: RefSeq, a predicted model, not a curated record